RNAcentral lists this ribosomal RNA (283 nucleotides) under Escherichia coli. RNAcentral's name for it is "partial 16S ribosomal RNA". It matches the Rfam family "Bacterial small subunit ribosomal RNA", at positions 1251 to 1533 of the family's 1533-position model. The record is from RNAcentral. RNAcentral also lists the same sequence under 1 other name. Lineage: Bacteria; Pseudomonadati; Pseudomonadota; Gammaproteobacteria; Enterobacterales; Enterobacteriaceae.
GACCUCGCGAGAGCAAGCGGACCUCAUAAAGUGCGUCGUAGUCCGGAUUGGAGUCUGCAACUCGACUCCAUGAAGUCGGAAUCGCUAGUAAUCGUGGAUCAGAAUGCCACGGUGAAUACGUUCCCGGGCCUUGUACACACCGCCCGUCACACCAUGGGAGUGGGUUGCAAAAGAAGUAGGUAGCUUAACCUUCGGGAGGGCGCUUACCACUUUGUGAUUCAUGACUGGGGUGAAGUCGUAACAAGGUAACCGUAGGGGAACCUGCGGUUGGAUCACCUCCUUA